CCUACGUGUGGCUGCAGUGGGGGAUAUUGCACAAUGGGGGGAACCCUGAUGCAGCGACGCCGCGUGGGUGAAGAAGCGCCUCGGCGCGUAAAGCACUUUCAGCAGGGACGAAAAUGACUGUACCUGAAGAAUAAGCCCCGGCUAACUACGUGCCAGCAGCCGCGGGAUUACGUAGGGGGCAAGCGUUAACCGGUUUUACUGGGUGGAAAGGGGACGCAGACGGGGAGGCAAGCCAGGCGUGAAAGCCGGGGGCUCAACCCGGGGACUGCUUUUGGAACUUGGUGGGUGGAGUGCAGGAGGGGCAGGCAGAAUUCCUGGUGUAGCGGUGAAAUGCGUAGAUAUGAGGAGGAACACCGGUGGCGAAGGCGGCCGGUUGGAAUGCAACUGACGUUGAGGCGCGAAAGCGUGGGGAGCAAACAGGAUUAGAUACCCUAGUAGUC
RNAcentral lists this ribosomal RNA (440 nucleotides) under uncultured bacterium. RNAcentral describes it as "partial 16S ribosomal RNA". It matches the Rfam family "Bacterial small subunit ribosomal RNA", at positions 338 to 795 of the family's 1533-position model. The record is from RNAcentral.